Molecule: long non-coding RNA, 433 nt
Filed under: Ixodes scapularis (black-legged tick)
Lineage: Eukaryota; Metazoa; Arthropoda; Arachnida; Ixodida; Ixodidae
Description: uncharacterized LOC121834252
Source: RNAcentral
GCCAACGACACCACCCUCAGCCCCCAGGGAAAGCCUUUUGAUCUACCCGGCAACCAAGCCAUCAGCUGGGGUGGAGCCAUACGCAGGGAUCUCCCACCUGCUGCGUACUACAUUCAAGCCCUCGGAGCUCGGACUCGGCAGCGUCGAGAUCAAGCAAGUGCGAGUACCCUCGCGAUCCCCACCCGAAGACAGACAGCAACCCCGAUUCGACCAUAAAAUUGUUUAUUCCUCAAGAAGCCUGUAAUCAAGAACCAACUACCGCCGACCAUCAUCCAGCAAGCCGUCCAGAUCCAUAAUUCGACCAUAGAACUGUUAAAACAUCAAGCAUCAUGUAAAAAGAACUUUCAACAACCAUCGUCAACUAGCCCGAAACGCCACUCAAGAGAAGUCAUCAGAGAAGAACUGGGGGGGAGGGAGAUACAUUUUAGUAAUU